Molecule: long non-coding RNA, 1141 nt
Filed under: Neodiprion pinetum (white pine sawfly)
Lineage: Eukaryota; Metazoa; Arthropoda; Insecta; Hymenoptera; Diprionidae
Description: uncharacterized LOC124221251
Source: RNAcentral
AUCUGAAAAGUAAUAAAAGGCAAAUUCUGAAUAAAAUCACGCAAACACAUUUUUAUUUGACGCAGAACAAAGAAAUGGCAUGAAUUCUAAGAAUUUAUUAUUGUGAUUUUGAAGCCCUCUUUUGCGUUUGAAAUACGUGGACUUCGAUAUUUGGAGAUAUAUACGUCACGUCGAAAUCGACUAGUUUGCAAAGUUUAGUCGGCUAGUCAGAAUGCUUAGAUGAUGGGAAAUGUGAAAAUGUGAAAUAACAGAAUUUGAUCCCCAGGGCACCUCAUAAGCGCGCGAAAUCGCGGUAGCAGAGUCAAAGAAUAUGAAUCAACGGAAGAGUCGUCGAUCGCUGCGUCGAUAGGGGGGAUAGCUUUGAAGUUGGCUUAUAAACGAAAAUUUUUGCUUCACGUUUGAAAUUUAAUUAGACGACACGUGUGGAUCGUAGCUUGAAGCAGUAAAUUGUGUAUUAUUACGAUUUUCAGGGCAGUUUUCAUGGAUUGGCCUCUCAUAGCGAUGUUUUUGUUUACAAUUCUUGGCCAAUAGUAAUCUACUUUUCCGGACUCUGUCAACAAAAGCAUCAACGUCGAGUGACGAAUACAAUAUACCCCCUAAUCCGUAUACGGGUAUUUCACUAAACAUCAAUCAACGAUCAUCACACCAAAAUUAUUUCCGCACGUGUUCAUUCGCAUGCCAAUAAAAUGUCACCCUCGGCUAGUCCUGCUAAAGGUGUGCAGUGGAUGCACUAUGGAGCAGAUGUGAUAAGGCACAUUGGACGGGGACGAGGAAUAGCCCGUUCAAAUUUGCCAGUAGGCGAAUGCCUAUGUCAGAGGUCCCAUUGUUACCUCCUCUGCGAGGUCUGCGGCUUUCUCGGAUGGGGACGAAUUAGAUACAGCUGUCCAAAACAUCCUCAGACAAUCUUUCUGAUCGAUAUGUCCGAAUGUCCUCGAUGUCGUGCAUAUGGGUAUAUGAUUAUGGAGUUUUAAGAAAACAAUUACUGCGACAUACUUGAAGAGCCAAAGAUAUAAAAAAAUAUGCUGGGUGUACAUAUUUAACGUCAUUAUUUUCUCAAAGUAACACGAAGCUUUAAGUUGAAUCUCAAUUGCUGGGAAUGAAUGGUAUGCAUCAAAAAUAAUAUAAUGCAAAAGCAUAUCGG